Molecule: ribosomal RNA, 203 nt
Filed under: uncultured bacterium
Lineage: Bacteria
Description: partial 16S ribosomal RNA
Rfam family: Bacterial small subunit ribosomal RNA
Source: RNAcentral
AUUGAAGGCUGAAAUUCGCCUUCAUGAAGCCGGAAUUGCUAGUAAUGGCAGGUCAGCAUACUGCCGUGAAUACGUUCCCGGGCCUUGUACACACCGCCCGUCACACCAUGAGAGUUGGGAAUACCCGAAGCCUGUGAGCUAACUUUUAGAGGCAGCAGUCGAAGGUAGAAUCAAUGAUUGGGGUGAAGUCGUAACAAGGUAAC